AAAUAUCACUAGGGGAUCCCUUGAUAAGGGCUGAGAAUAAAGUAGUUACUUUUAAACCCUCAAAACCUGAACAGGUUCGUACCUGCGUAGGGAAGUGGCGCAUUGUAAUU
Bacillus sp. 1NLA3E is the source of this 110-nucleotide regulatory RNA element. It matches the Rfam family "TPP riboswitch aptamer (THI element)". From Rfam's summary of the family: Vitamin B(1) in its active form thiamin pyrophosphate (TPP) is an essential coenzyme that is synthesised by coupling of pyrimidine and thiazole moieties in bacteria. The previously detected thiamin-regulatory element, thi box was extended, resulting in a new, highly conserved RNA secondary structure, the THI element, which is widely distributed in eubacteria and also occurs in some archaea. The record is from Rfam. NCBI's taxonomy places the organism in Bacteria, Bacillati, Bacillota, Bacilli, Caryophanales, Bacillaceae.